RNAcentral lists this long non-coding RNA (1216 nucleotides) under Homo sapiens (human). Its description in RNAcentral is "HSALNT0247221". Lineage: Eukaryota; Metazoa; Chordata; Mammalia; Primates; Hominidae. The record is from RNAcentral.
UGGCUGUUUCAUAAAUGGUGUAUAUUCAAAGAAGAAGUGAAAGUCCGGCGUUUUGAAAAAUGAGCGUCUGCUGGCUGAAUGGGGAAAUGAGGCAUCAUUGCAACAAUCAUUCACUCUGGCCACUCGUUAUGAAAUAAGGCACAAUUCCCAAAUUUCAAAGUGAAACAUCAUUCAGAAGGAAUUGAAUAGUUCUUCUCUGAACAGAGCCCUCCGCUAUCAAUAUAAAGGUUACUAUAUGCCCAUGUGCUCCGGAUGCAGAAACGCUCAUUAAAUAAACACCAAAAUAGUGCAUCGAUGACUUUGUCUUUACCUCAAAAGAAAGUUGAUCUGCUCAGAAGAAAGACAGUGUGCAUAUUCAGAAACAUUAACUCUCUCAUGUUACGUUAAUUAUUUCCAAUGUUGGUCUAACGAAAUGGCACUCUUCUUUUUCCAUCCUUCUCCCUAAAUUACUUAUGCUAAGUUAACUUUUCCUAGCUUAUCAGAACUAAAGGGAGAUUUUGAUUUUUUGGGCUGGGAGGUCCCAUUCAUUAUCAUGACUUUAAAGUACAACCAAUAAUGGGAAGUUCUUAGGUGACAGUGAGCCAACCACACAAACAAGCUUGACCCUUUGUAUCCGGAAGGCUGCCAUUGCGAAGAAGAGCGUGUACAGUAAUCAUCAGACCACAAAGUUUUAAACCAGUGUCUCAAAAGACAAAAUGACUAACUUUGCAACAUAUUACUGGAAAUAACUUCAGAUGGCUGGGAUGCUUUUUCCCCCAAAGAAGGAAAUGCUUCCAGGUUAUGGAGUCUAAUGGGAGAAUCUUUGGAGGUGAUGGACCAUCUUAUGGAGCCAUCUGCACCCUAAGUUUUGUUCAUUUUCACGUUGUCUUCUCUCUGACUUACAAAAGUAUUGGAAUGUAAGGCUCUUCCAUGGGACCCAGAGGAAACAUUUUAUGGCCUCAGGAGGUUAAUCUAACUUCAUUGUAUUUCAAAAAUGAACGUAUUUGGCCUUGGUCAUGACACUUUUAUCAAAUCAUACUCAUAAACAUUAAUGGCUUAAACUGAGAGGCUUUGAUCCCUUGGGCUUUGGUGUGGACAAUGGUACUUAGUAGGUGACAGUUCUCUGUUGAACUAGUUUCAGGGAAUCAAACACAGGGCAUUUUAGUAGUCAAUCUGCUUUGGUAAAACGAAGCCUUUCUUUUCAGUAACCUUACCUAUAAUGGCUUUAUAAUCCGUA